CAAUAGCGUAUAUUAAAGUUGUUGCGGUUAAAAAGCUCGUAGUUGGAUUUCUGCCGAGGACGACCGGUCCGCCUCCUGGGUGAGUAUCUGGCUCGGCCUUGGCAUCUUCUUGGAGAACGUAACUGCACUUGACUGUGUGGUGCGGUAACCAGGACUUUUACUUUGAGGAAAUUAGAGUGUUUCAAGCAGGCGUGCGCCUUGAAUACAUUAGCAUGGAAUAAUAAGAUAGGACCUUAGUUCUAUUUUGUUGGUUUCUAGGGCUAAGAUAAUGAUUAAUAGGGAUAAUGGGGGGCAUCUGUAUCAACGCGUCAGAGGUGGAAUUCUUGGAUUGCGUUGCGACAAACUACUGUGAAAGCAUUUGCCAAGGAUGUUUUCAUUGA
This 380-nucleotide ribosomal RNA is filed under the name uncultured eukaryote. RNAcentral describes it as "partial 18S ribosomal RNA". It matches the Rfam family "Eukaryotic small subunit ribosomal RNA", at positions 592 to 976 of the family's 1831-position model. The record is from RNAcentral.